CCCGGGGGGAAACUAGAGCUAAUACAUGCAGUUCAUUGGCGUGAUCACAAGUUGCGUCAAAGCAUUUAUUAGACUUAACCAUCUACUGUACGCAAGUAUAGUAAGGCGAAUCUAGAUAACUUUGCUGAUCGUAUGGCCCUGUGCCGACGACGUUUCAAUUGAGUUUCUGCCCUAUCAAUUUGUUGGUAAGGUAUUGGCUUACCAAGGUUGCAACGGGUAACGGGGAAUCAGGGUUCGAUUCCGGAGAGGGAGCCUGAGAAACGGCUACCACAUCCAAGGAAGGCAGCAGGCGCGCAAAUUACCCAAUCUAGACAGUAGGAGGUGGUGAAGAGAAGUACUUGGUGGUGGCCUAAUGGUCCCAACCAGGAAUGAACGUAAUUUAAGCAAUUCGAUGAGUAACUACUGGAGGGCAAGUCCUGGUGCCAGCAGCCGCGGUAAUUCCAGCUCCAGUGGCGUGAUUUAAAGUUGCUGCGUUUAAAACGCUCGUAGUUGGAUCACGCAGUGGCAUACAGUAACAUGGGUCGUGUUUUUUGACGAUUUUCUUCAACAAGAUUAUUGGAUCUGGACCGAUCUGUGUGUUUACGCUGUAUGUCACUAUUUGCACACAAGUAUGGUAUUUGGUCUUUAGUGAAUCGAGUAUCAUGUCUUGUGGAGUGUGCCUUGAAUAAAACAGAGUGCUCAAAGCAGGCGAACGCUUGAAUG
Molecule: ribosomal RNA, 702 nt
Filed under: Myxobolus toyamai
Lineage: Eukaryota; Metazoa; Cnidaria; Myxozoa; Bivalvulida; Myxobolidae
Description: bacterial SSU rRNA
Rfam family: Eukaryotic small subunit ribosomal RNA
Source: RNAcentral